GGAAGAGCCCAUUUUGCGUCCAGAGGACUCCAUUCCUAUCAGUGCCUCGCCACAACCUCUGGCAGGUUGGAGAAAUUUAGUGACUUUUUGCCGUGCCAUUAGAAUUCCAAAGAAGGUGGUUGAUGCGAAGGAGGAUGACACACCAUCCAAGCCUAGCGAUCGGGUAGGUUCGAAAGAGGACGUGACUCAUGCGACAUCUGUGACUGGCAUAAACCGAAAGAGGACAAACGACAGUGAUGCUGAAGAGCAGCCCCCAGGAAAGAGGACCAGGGACACUGUUGCUAAAGAGGAGCCCCCAGCCAAGAGGAGCAAGGACACUCUUGCUGAAAAGGAGCUCCCUGCCAAGAAGACCAGGGACAGUGUUACUGAAGUGAAACUCCCAGCCAAGAGGACCAGGAAUAGUGAUGAUGCUAAACAGGAGCCCUCUGCCAAGAGGGUCAGGGAGAAUCAAACUGAAGAUGUGCUCCCCUCCAAGAGGACCAGGGACAGUGUUGCUGAAGAGGAGCCCCCAGCCAAGAGGACUAGAGACACUGUUGCUGAAGAGGAGCUCCCAGCCAAGACGGCACAGUAGUAUAAUGAAGAUCCCAUUUGGGACGAGGUCCUUCAAAGUAUCGGCAGAAGGAUGGCAUGGAGAUAUGGUAAAGAAUGGGAGGACGAGCCCAUUCCAUCAACCCCUCUGUUCAUUCCAUACCGAAAGACAGACCAUGAAGAUCCUAUUCUGUUAUCCCCUGUCCUCAGUCCCUCACCAAGGACAGCGUGUGAGGAUACUGGUCUGUCAUCCCCUGUCCUCAGUCCCUUGUAUAGAAUGGCGCAUAAACUUCCUGUUUUGUUAUCCCCUAUCCUCAGUCCCUCACCAAGGACGUCGUGUGGGGAUCCUGGUCUGUCAUCCCCCGUCCUCAGUCCCUCGCAUAGAAUGCCACGUAAACGUCCUGUUUUGUCAUCCCCUGUCCUCAGUCCCUCACGAGGGACGAUGCAAGAGGAUCUUUUUCUCUCAUCCCGUGACGUCAGUCCCUCACCAUCGACGCACUGUGAAGAUCCCGUUUUGUCACCCCACGUUUUCAGUCCUUCACCAUCAACACACUGUGAAAAUCCAACUUUGUCAUCCCCUGACUUCCGUUUCUGGAUGGAGACUGAAAAGGACAUAGAAGAGGAACCGACACCUUCAACAUCUGGUGGAACUACAGCAAGAGUGAGUUCCAAACACGUGUGGUUUAGACCUCGCUACGUUUCAAGUGACUCUGAUUAGAUUGGGAUCCGUAAAAACUGAGGACCUAUGUGGGAAGUCACAUUAGGACAUAUCAUCAUUUCUCUGUUUUUUUUUUUUUUUGUUUUAUUAAAGCCAAUGGAUUUCUAGCAAGCCUGUGGAAGCCUUAGGUAGCGCGUUACACCGGGGCUUUUCUUUAUCCCGCUGCUAGAUGUAGCAUUUUAGAUGUUGAGGAUUCUGGCAGGACUCAGGAAGCCUUAGGUAGCACCUUGCACCGGAGUUUUCUUCGUCUUUGUGUCUUCCUCUCAUCUUCCCCAUGUUUCAGGGUGAAAUAGCGGUUCUUCCCCACGCGGUGCUCUCCGAUAUAGUAAAUUAUUCUAUUCUGUUCCUCCACUAAUCCACUCUCCAAGGUUUUAAUCUUUCAGGUUUUAGCUGCUCAUCGCUGGAUCCUUUCGUCGUCGUCCAUGUGGUUCCUGUCCUUCUGGACCCCUUGUUUUUCACACUGCUUGUUGGAUCUCCUCCGCCUGUAAUCCUCCACCUUCAGCACCACCAGUCAGGUGGAGGAAGAUAAGAGAACCCAGUUGACAAAAAAAAGUAAGAAAACUUAUUUUCAUUUUAAAUAUGGAUGAAAUUGAGCUCAAAUUUCAAAAUUGUUCUUCCUUCUGUCCACCUAUAUUCUAUUUGUUAACCCUGUUGUCUUUUCUCUGGAUUUCAUUUCUACAUCAACUCAUGUCACAUGACAUGAGUUGACCAACAAUUAAAGCAGAAGACCAGCGCCGCCUGUAAUCCUCCACCUUCAACACCACCAGUCAGGUGGAGGAAGAUAAGAGAACCCAGUUGACAUAAAAAAGUAAGAACAUUUCUAUCUACGCAACAUAACUAAUCAUUUCAAAUAUAGCUGCAGAGAGCUGAGCUGAAAGUUAGAAGCUGUCUGCUGUUCAUGCAUAUUUUCCUCCUUAACUUUAUCUUCUCUCUUUAUUUCAUUUCUCUGUGAACUCAUGUGAUGACUGGAGUUGACCAACAAUUAAAGCAGAAGACCUGCUCCACCUGCUGUUCUACUGGUUGGAAGAGAUUGUGGGAAAGCAUCACUGGACCAAUCAGGCGAGAGAAGACAGAGAGGACUGAGGACUAAAACGAAAAUACUCUGCCUGCCAAAAAAGGCAGACGAUCCAGUGGCCCCAGGUUUACACACCAUCUGCUGGUUUGAGGCAGACCGACCGCUGGGGAGAUGGACCUCACCUGACACCAUUACUCUGGAUGUAACAGGUAGCUCGACUCUCCUGUCCAUUAAAACAUCAGUGACUCGAGAAGUGGACAGCGAGGUUUCUGGUGCCUGGGUGGAGACGAGAUUCUGAUUAUUCAAGAGCCAAAACAAAACGUCAGAAUAAAUAGUUAGAAGGCAGAUUUGUUUUCUAUUUGUUGUUGUUUUCAUCAUUAAUGCUCCACAACACAAAAUUCAUCAGUGCUGUAACUCUUGAGUUGAAUAAAAUGUUCUUCUUUCAAUCUGUUA
Molecule: long non-coding RNA, 2714 nt
Organism: Xiphophorus couchianus (Monterrey platyfish)
Lineage: Eukaryota; Metazoa; Chordata; Actinopteri; Cyprinodontiformes; Poeciliidae
Exons: 5
Source: RefSeq, a predicted model, not a curated record